Molecule: long non-coding RNA, 243 nt
Filed under: Lathyrus oleraceus (garden pea)
Lineage: Eukaryota; Viridiplantae; Streptophyta; Magnoliopsida; Fabales; Fabaceae
Description: Pisum sativum (pea) long non-coding RNA (PSAT_LNC035630)
Source: RNAcentral
UAACUCUUCCUUAUCUUAUUUCGAUACAUUGGGGACAAUGUUCGAUUUAAGUGUGGGAGGAGACUCUAUCGUCUUUUCUUUAUUUCUUUUCUCGUUUUCCCUUUAUCAUUUUUUCUUUGCUAUUUUUAGAUAGUUUAUUUAUUGUUAUUUCCUUUUAGUUGUUUAUUUUGCUUUCUUAGUAUAAUGCAUGAGUCUGACGAGUCACCAAAUACAGUAGAUCUUUAGUACAACCCUACCUCCCCG